CAACCCUCGUCCAUGUCCCACGUUUGCCGGCCGAUAUCUUUAUAUCUCGCAUCUCGCGGAUACACAGAUACAUUUACACUCAUAAAUAUGUCGCGUGGAUUAAUGUGCCAGUUGGCAAUUUCUGACAGCGCUCUCAGUUCCAAGCGAGCAACUUCCUCCGUUCUCGGUUACCGCCUUUCCCCCUCUCCGUACGUCUUAUAUACCAUAUAAUAAUAUGUACAUCGUGUAUACAUACAUAUAUGUAGUGUACUUGAUGGACAUGUGGCAAGAUCAAAGCGCCCGUCGCCUCCUCCAAUUAGACAAAUCCCAAACGCAGCCACUAAUUCGAGUGGAGGCAAAACACAAACCGAACACAAUUGCCGACGACCAGCAGAAUUUUCGCAGAAGGAAGCGGAAAAAAGGGGUCAAGCAUCCCAUGGUGACGGAAGUAUCUAAAGACGUAUCUGCAAGAUUUAAUCGCUAAUUUGAAUCGCCUACGCAAUUGUUGCAACUUCAACUUGCUUCUUUCUUUGCACAGUGUGCAAUCCAUCGCUUUGUGAACUGGAGCCUCGACAUCGCCUACUCGCGGACAUGUGUUCCCUCCUCAUCUGAUUGGAAUAUUAAUUGUGACGAAUGCAGCCGAGAUCUUUUUUUCUUACCACCAGCCAUCCUACGAUUCUGGCCGACAAGUGCACGCCAGUUGGGCCAACUGAAUCGAGCUGAAGAGGCCCACUGAUGUCAUUUUACUUAACAUUAAUUUCAAAUAAUAUCAUAAUUUAUCGUUACAACGCAGGCAUUGCUGCUUGGCGACUCCCGAUGUUCGAUUCUCAUUUCAGACACGUACCGUGGAAUCGAUCUCAAUUUCGUAGUUCAGAUAUCACGCGCACACAGAGGCCGAAAAUGCGGCCACGUUCUCGUCCCUGCCCAUCAAAGGGCAGGCAGGCAGGCAAGGCGGUGGCAGUCAGGCCCUUUUCCACUUGGCCAGAUUGGAUGGCCAAUAUAUACGCGAAGCGACGGCGGCGGCCCUUUUCAAGAUGCCACGAUCACGUUGACAUUUUCGCCUGGACGCGGCAGUUGUUGCCCCACUAGAUAUACCCGCGCCGAUUCCCCAGAUCGCUGUCUCCAUUUCCAUUUCGAUUCAAGAUCCCCAUCCCGAACCCCACGAUUGUUGACAUGUCGCCGCCUGUGAUUGAUUUAGGGCCGUUUUUUUCCUUUUCCGCCGAAGCGCAGCCGUUUGAACCCAUUGUUUUUGGCCCAAAAACAAAGAAAAUCUGACCAAAAACAAAAAAAAAUAAAAUCAAAAGGGCGUAUGACGAUGCCAAACCGACGACGUGAGCUGCCGUCUUUGAGAACUGGUUGAUGGUGGUGUAUGGUAACUUGGUUUCAACUUUUUGGGAUACCCCUCUCAUGUUAAUUGAUAGCACGGAUUAGUUGGAUCGAUAUGUGCAAUGCUUUUGAUAUGACUUCCAGGAAAUUUUCGUUCGCAGCUCAUUUGAAUUAUGAGAAACGAGAAUAGAUUUCCCAGGGAUAUUUUAUGCAUUUUGGUGACCAUUUAUUUGGCUUUUCCUUUCGAUUGCUCCUCCGAUCGCGUUCACUAUCUAUCACCUGUAAGUGCAAGACGCGAAGCUCAGGUGAAAUUUAUCAGCCACAAAGGUAGGAGUUCCUCCUGCAAGUUCCUCCUCCUCCUCCACUUGCAGCCUGCGAUUCUCGAGCUGGGGAGGCUGCCCUGGGGGCGCUCGCUGGCUCACUGGCUCACUGGACUCCUUGCUUCCUUGGAUGUAUUAAAUUAAUAUUUGCUUUUUGUCAAAAGGCUAUAAUCAAGCACGCUGGCGAUGACAGGCUAAGAGGCUCUAAUUACAGCUUGUUACCCUGAUGCAGCGGCCACACAGGUCGUGGCUCACUUCGCUUUCGCCUUCGCCUUGGAAUGGAGUGGAGUGGAUCUGGAACUGGACUGGGACUGGGACGGGGACUGGGACUCAUACUUCCACCGGUGCCUCGUCUUCCGUUUAUGCUAAGUGGCAAGCGCCGUGGUCGCCCUCAUCCCUAUGUCCAUCCUCAUGCUACUCCGACCUUCACGCAGUCCAGCUUCGCGUGAUCCUCGCUGCAGAAGCACAAUUAUGCAC
Molecule: non-coding RNA, 2102 nt
Organism: Drosophila melanogaster (fruit fly)
Lineage: Eukaryota; Metazoa; Arthropoda; Insecta; Diptera; Drosophilidae
Source: Ensembl